This 433-nucleotide ribosomal RNA is filed under the name uncultured bacterium. RNAcentral describes it as "bacterial SSU rRNA". It matches the Rfam family "Bacterial small subunit ribosomal RNA", at positions 29 to 507 of the family's 1533-position model. The record is from RNAcentral.
AACGAACGCUGGCGGCAUGCCUAACACAUGCAAGUCGAACGAAGCCUUCGGGCUUAGUGGCGCACGGGUGCGUAACGCGUGGGAACCUACCAUCAGGUUCGGAAUAACAGUUAGAAAUGACUGCUAAUACCGGAUAAUGUCUUCGGACCAAAGAUUUAUCGCCUUUUGAUGGGCCCGCGUUAGAUUAGCUAGUUGGUGGGGUAAAGGCCUACCAAGGCGACGAUCCAUAGCUGGUCUGAGAGGAUGAUCAGCCACACUGGGACUGAGACACGGCCCAGACUCCUACGGGAGGCAGCAGUGGGGAAUAUUGGACAAUGGGCGAAAGCCUGAUCCAGCAAUGCCGCGUGAGUGAUGAAGGCCUUAGGGUUGUAAAGCUCUUUUACCAGGGAUGAUAAUGACAGUACCUGGAGAAUAAGCUCCGGCUAACUCCGUG